GCGGACGGCUGAGUAACACGUGGGUGACCUGCCCUCGUAGCGGGGGAUAACUGCCCGAAAAGGGUGGCUAAUACACGCAAAUGUCUGGUCUUCGGUGAGCAGACUGAACCGUGAGGGUUCGAGGAGGGGCCCGCGGCCUGGAUUAGCUUGCUGGUGGGGUAACGGCCUACCAGGGCUGCGAUCGGUAGCUGGUCUGAGAGGAUGAUCAGCCAGACUGGGACUGCGAGACGGCCCAGACUCCUACGGGAGGCAGCAGUUAGUGAAUUUUGGGCAAUGGGCGAAAGCCUGACCCAGCAACGCCGCGUGGGUAUGAAGGCCUUCGGGUCGUAAAGCCCUUUUCCCAGGGACGAUGUCACGGUACCUGGGGAAUCAGCCCCGGUUAACUACGUGCCAGCAGCCGCGG
Molecule: ribosomal RNA, 403 nt
Filed under: uncultured bacterium
Lineage: Bacteria
Description: bacterial SSU rRNA
Rfam family: Bacterial small subunit ribosomal RNA
Source: RNAcentral